Molecule: ribosomal RNA, 484 nt
Filed under: uncultured bacterium
Lineage: Bacteria
Description: partial 16S ribosomal RNA
Rfam family: Bacterial small subunit ribosomal RNA
Source: RNAcentral
AUUGAACGCUGGCGGCAGGCCUAACACAUGCAAGUCGAGCGGAUGAAGGGAGCUUGCUCCUGGAUUCAGCGGCGGACGGGUGAGUAAUGCCUAUGAAUCUGCCUGGUAGUGGGGGAUAACGUCCGGAAACGGGCGCUAAUACCGCAUACGUCCUGAGGGAGAAAGUGGGGGAUCUUCGGACCUCACGCUAUCAGAUGAGCCUAGGUCGGAUUAGCUAGUUGGUGGGGUAAAGGCCUACCAAGGCGACGAUCCGUAACUGGUCUGAGAGGAUGAUCAGUCACACUGGAACUGAGACACGGUCCAGACUCCUACGGGAGGAAGCAGUGGGGAAUAUUGGACAAUGGGCGAAAGCCUGAUCCAGCCAUGACGCGUGUGUGAAGAAGGUCUUCGGAUUGUAAAGCACUUUAAGUUGGGAGGAAGGGCAGUAAGUUAAUACCUUGCUGUUUUGACGUUACCAAAAGAAUAAGCACCGGCUAACUUCGUG